Cynoglossus semilaevis (tongue sole) is the source of this 1097-nucleotide long non-coding RNA. RefSeq lists it as uncharacterized. Lineage: Eukaryota; Metazoa; Chordata; Actinopteri; Pleuronectiformes; Cynoglossidae. The record is from RefSeq and is a predicted model, not a curated record. The transcript has 4 exons.
UUUUAUUCACCUUUGCAUUUUUACUGCUCGGCGUCAGCAGAACUCUAAUUACUCCUCUGAUGGAUCGGAAUCCCAUGUCACUAAAUCUCACGUCCCUCCUGCUCUUCAGGUGAUUAAUAGUCCUUGAAUAGGCCGUUGGAUGUAAAGGAGCUGUCCUGGAUAUUGUAGAAAACGUCAGUCAGCACUGCAAAUCCUCCUUGUUAUUGGUCAUCCUAUAAAAGCAUGCAAACCACGACUGUUGUCCACACAGAAGAAAUGACCACUUGGCUCAUGAAGAGCAAUGAAUUAUGGGAUAUUAGUCACAUUAAUCUGGCAUCCAGAACUUACUCUAGCCUAAUAAGGUGCCACGGAAAGAGGUGCUUAAGUUUUGUUAUUUUUUUCUGAGAUGUACUCUAGCUCUACGUAUACAACAUUACACUUCCUGUUUUAUUUUGAAAUUAUCAACUGCUGUUUACCUUCCUCCGUCCUCAUUAACUCACGCUACGAUCAUGGACAUAGACAUAGACUGCUCACCGAUUAAAUACGUAUUUCUAUAUUGGUUUUCCGUCCAGAAACAAAAGGAAAACUCAUUUCCAAAUUUCAACUUCCGGCUGUGGUUGUUAAGGUGCCUGUUAUGAUGUUAUGAAUGUAAUGCUCGACUCUUGAGGGUGGCAGAAUUGCACAUAGAAUUCACAGUCGGUUUACGAACCCACAUCACGUGCAGCAGCUGAUUGACAUGGCUCAUGAUGCAGAGGAACUCCUGGCUGCUCAAUAUUCCAAAUACCAAUCCCAGUAUUGGCUGGAUCUGAUGGAUUUCAGUCUUUGGUGGCAGCAAAGGCCAAUAGCAGCGGUGGAGCAGCUCACGUGAAGUCAGAAUCAGGAUCACACACCUGCUUCUGAGUUCCCUCAUCAGGAGACUGGUGGAUUUAAACGCCACUUCGCCAAGAAACCCGUGCCAGAGCGCUGCCCCCGUGGUUUUAAGUGGAUCACGCCCUGUCCUUCACGCCUCGUCUUCCUGCUAACCUGAGACCCUGUUUGUUCCCGCCCCGGCCAUGGAAUCCAGUAAGUGGACGUGUUGAAGUUUUUGUUCCCCCUCGUGCUGCGUUUGGGUCCUACCU